GACGAACGCUGGCGGCGUGCCUAAUACAUGCAAGUCGAGCGGACGGAUGGGAGCUUGCUCCCAGACCGUCAGCGGCGGACGGGUGAGUAACACGUGGGCAACCUGCCUGUAAGACUGGGAUAACUCCGGGAAGCCGGGGCUAAUACCGGAUAACUCUUUCCCUCACAUGAGGGAAAGCUGAAAGAUGGCAUCUCGCUAUCACUUACAGAUGGGCCCGCGGCGCAUUAGCUAGUUGGUGAGGUAACGGCUCACCAAGGCGACGAUGCGUAGCCGACCUGAGAGGGUGAUCGGCCACACUGGGACUGAGACACGGCCCAGACUCCUACGGGAGGCAGCAGUAGGGAAUCUUCCGCAAUGGACGAAAGUCUGACGGAGCAACGCCGCGUGAGUGAUGAAGGUUUUCGGAUCGUAAAACUCUGUUGUCAGGGAAGAACAAGUACCGGAGUAACUGCCGGUACCUUGACGGUACCUGAACAGAAAGCCACGGCUAACUACGUG
This 498-nucleotide ribosomal RNA is filed under the name uncultured bacterium. RNAcentral describes it as "partial 16S ribosomal RNA". It matches the Rfam family "Bacterial small subunit ribosomal RNA", at positions 28 to 507 of the family's 1533-position model. The record is from RNAcentral.